GGGGCUGGAGAGAUGACUCAGUGGU
RNAcentral lists this non-coding RNA (25 nucleotides) under Cricetulus griseus (Chinese hamster). The record is from RNAcentral. Lineage: Eukaryota; Metazoa; Chordata; Mammalia; Rodentia; Cricetidae.